Molecule: ribosomal RNA, 409 nt
Filed under: Bacillota bacterium
Lineage: Bacteria; Bacillati; Bacillota
Description: Firmicutes bacterium partial 16S ribosomal RNA
Rfam family: Bacterial small subunit ribosomal RNA
Source: RNAcentral
UGGUGAAUAUUGCACAAUGGGCGAAAGCCUGAUGCAGCGACGCCGCGUGAGGGAUGACGGCCUUCGGGUUGUAAACCUCUUUCAGCAGGGACGAAGCGCAAGUGACGGUACCUGCAGAAGAAGCACCGGCUAACUACGUGCCAGCAGCCGCGGUAAUACGUAGGGUGCAAGCGUUGUCCGGAAUUACUGGGCGUAAAGAGUUCGUAGGCGGUUUGUCGCGUCGUUUGUGAAAACCAGCAGCUCAACUGCUGGCUUGCAGGCGAUACGGGCAGACUUGAGUACUGCAGGGGAGACUGGAAUUCCUGGUGUAACGGUGAAAUGCGCAGAUAUCAGGAGGAACACCGGUGGCGAAGGCGGGUCUCUGGGCAGUAACUGACGCUGAGGAACGAAAGCGUGGGUAGCGAACAGG